AAUAGAUACCCGGGUAGUCCACGCCGUAAACGAUGAGUGCUAGGUGUUGGUGGGGACACCCAUCAGUGCCGCAGCUAACGCAUUAAGCACUCCGCCUGGGGAGUACGGUCGCAAGACUGAAACUCAAAGGAAUUGACGGGGACCCGCACAAACAGCGGAGCAUGUGGUUUAAUUCGACGCAACGCGAAGAACCUUACCAGGGCUUGACAUCCCUCUGACCGGAUUAGAGAUAGUCCUUUCUCUUCGGAGACAGAGGAGACAGGUGGUGCAUGGUUGUCGUCAGCUCGUGUCGUGAGAUGUUGGGUUAAGUCCCGCAACGAGCGCAACCCUUGCCUUUAGUUGCCAUCAGGUAAAGCUGGGCACUCUAGAGGGACUGCCGGUGACAAACCGGAGGAAGGUGGGGAUGACGUCAAAUCAUCAUGCCCCUUAUGUCCUGGGCUACACACGUGCUACAAUGGUCGGUACAACGGGAAGCGAGACUGCGAAGUUUAGCCAAUCCCAAUAAGCCGAUCCCAGUUCGGA
Molecule: ribosomal RNA, 522 nt
Filed under: uncultured bacterium
Lineage: Bacteria
Description: bacterial SSU rRNA
Rfam family: Bacterial small subunit ribosomal RNA
Source: RNAcentral